RNAcentral lists this small nuclear RNA (164 nucleotides) under Pythium arrhenomanes ATCC 12531. RNAcentral describes it as "snRNA EPrPArr00000013113". The stretch from base 1 to 144 matches the Rfam family "U11 spliceosomal RNA". Lineage: Eukaryota; Oomycota; Peronosporomycetes; Pythiales; Pythiaceae. The record is from RNAcentral.
AAAAAGGGCAGGCCUGUAACACGGCGCAGCCAACCCGUCGGAUCGCCCGCGAGGGUGGACCGCGCUUCUUGCCUGCGGCGAAUCGCGAUCAUGAGAUUUGCCCUGCAGAAUUUGUGACCCGCCGGUGCGUGAACGGGCCUCUCUUGCGAGGCUGCUUCCACCGG